GACGAACGCUGGCGGCGUGCUUAACACAUGCAAGUCGAACGGAAAGGCCCUGCUUUUGUGGGGUGCUCGAGUGGCGAACGGGUGAGUAACACGUGAGUAACCUGCCCUUGACUUUGGGAUAACUUCAGGAAACUGGGGCUAAUACCGGAUAGGAGCUCCUGCUGCAUGGUGGGGGUUGGAAAGUUUCGGCGGUUGGGGAUGGACUCGCGGCUUAUCAGCUUGUUGGUGGGGGAGUGGCUUACCAAGGCUUUGACGGGUAGCCGGCCUGAGAGGGUGACCGGCCACAUUGGGACUGAGAUACGGCCCAGACUCCUACGGGAGGCAGCAGUGGAGAAUAUUGCACAAUGGGCGGAAGCCUGAUGCAGCAACGCCGCGUGCGGGAUGACGGCCUUCUGGUUGUAAACCGCUGUCGCCUGUGACGAAGCGUGAGUGACGGUAAUGGGUAAAGAAGCACCGGCUAACUACGUG
This 468-nucleotide ribosomal RNA is filed under the name uncultured bacterium. RNAcentral's name for it is "partial 16S ribosomal RNA". It matches the Rfam family "Bacterial small subunit ribosomal RNA", at positions 28 to 507 of the family's 1533-position model. The record is from RNAcentral.